CUAACGCAUGCAAGUCGAGCGCCCCGCAAGGGAGCGGCAGACGGGAGAGUAACACGUGGGAACGUACCCUUCGGUUCGGAACAACCCAGGNAAACUUGGGCUAAUACCGGAUACGUCCGAAAGGAGAAAGAUUUAUCGCCGAGGGAUCGGCCCGCGUCUGAUUAGCUAGUUGGUGGGGUAAUGGCCCACCAAGGCGACGAUCAGUAGCUGGUCUGAGAGGAUGAUCAGCCUCACUGGGACUGAGACACGGCCCAGACUCCUACGGGAGGCAGCAGUGGGGAAUAUUGGACAAUGGGCGCAAGCCUGAUCCAGCCAUGCCGCGUGGGUGAUGAAGGCCCUAGGGUUGUAAAGCCCUUUCGGCGGGGAAGAUAAUGACGGUACCCGCAGAAGAAGCCCCGGCUAACUUCGUGCCAGCAGCCGCGGUAAUACGAAGGGGGCUAGCGUUGCUCGGAAUCACUGGGCGUAAAGCGCACGUAGGCGGCUUGUUAAGUCAGGGGUGAAAUCCUGGAGCUCAACUCCAGAACUGGCUUUGAUACUGGCGAGCUUG
Molecule: ribosomal RNA, 547 nt
Filed under: uncultured Paenibacillus sp.
Lineage: Bacteria; Bacillati; Bacillota; Bacilli; Caryophanales; Paenibacillaceae
Description: bacterial SSU rRNA
Rfam family: Bacterial small subunit ribosomal RNA
Source: RNAcentral